AUUCUCUCAGCUCUGCUCAACUGUACCUGUCCUGUGGUAUGGUUGUCGUCAAUGGAGAGAGAAAGUAUACUGAACACAGCAAUGCACGGCAGGAGUGUACCCCCCAGUGGUCUUCCUGUUCCCUUACCAGUGUUCAACAUGA
Small nucleolar RNA from Anguilla rostrata (American eel), 142 nucleotides. RefSeq annotates it as small nucleolar RNA SNORA64/SNORA10 family. The record is from RefSeq and is a predicted model, not a curated record. Lineage: Eukaryota; Metazoa; Chordata; Actinopteri; Anguilliformes; Anguillidae. The transcript has a single exon.